Molecule: ribosomal RNA, 442 nt
Filed under: uncultured bacterium
Lineage: Bacteria
Description: partial 16S ribosomal RNA
Rfam family: Bacterial small subunit ribosomal RNA
Source: RNAcentral
CCUACGGGAGGCAGCAGUGGGGAAUAUUGGGCAAUGGGCGCAAGCCUGAACCAGCAACGCCGCGUGAAGGAAGAAGGCUCUCCGGUUGGAAACUUCCUUUGACCGGGAAGAGAAGAAGACGGUAACUGUCCAAUAAGGCACGGCUAACUACGAGCCAGCAGCCGCGGGAAUACGUAGGUGGCAAGCGUUGUCCGGAUUUACUGGGUUUAAAGGGCGUGUAGCCGGUUUGGCAAGUCAGAUGUGAAAUCCUGCGGCUUAACCGCAGAACUGCAGUUGAAACUGUUGAUCUUGAGUACUGGAGAGGCAGACGGAAUGCCUAGUGUAGCGGUGAAAUGCGUAGAUAUUAGGCGGAACACCAGUGGCGAAGGCGGUGUGCUGGACAGCAACUGACGGUGAGGCGCGAAAGCGUGGGGAGCAAACAGGAUUAGAUACCCCUGUAGUC